Long non-coding RNA from Centrocercus urophasianus (Greater sage-grouse), 1121 nucleotides. RefSeq lists it as uncharacterized. The record is from RefSeq and is a predicted model, not a curated record. The transcript has 3 exons. NCBI's taxonomy places the organism in Eukaryota, Metazoa, Chordata, Aves, Galliformes, Phasianidae.
UCUGUCUGUCCCUGCAUGACCCCACAAAGCUGCUUCACCCCAGCUGAGGGAGCCAGGUGCUGAUGCCAGUGGACAUGCACAUCCCACCAUCCAUGGGUGUCCCCUCGUGGUGACAACGCCUCCGAGUGACACCAUGCUUGUACCAGCACCAGUGUGCCAUCCUGCCUGGCGGGGUUAAACAUUAACAGGGACUGCUGCCAGGGCAAGGCCAGAGGCACAUAUAUGGGACGGGUUGCCCAGCACUGAGACAUUCCUGGCUUCACACCCAACUCUGCUCCGAGCACAGCUCCUCCAGAGGCUUGCAUGGAAUCGCUAUUUAUUUUAGCUCAUCUCAACCUGCAGUGUGGCUGCAUGGCCGAAAUCAGCUGUAGCAGCCGAGAUCCUGGAAGAGGUGCUACAUUUCAGAAUGCUCUUCUAUAUCCAGCAUCAUUAACCCAAGGAAAUGUCAUUGGAAAGAGACUUCGGAUAGCACAGUACACAGGGAUGAGGGUGGUGGGGAGAAGCAGCAGCUCAAAGGGAAGCCUCACCCCAUGCACAGCAGCAUAAGGGCUGUGGAGACACUGCCAUUCGCCAGUCAUCUCUGCAGCCCUGGAAAGAAGCACAGGAUCCUGGAAGUGCUGUGGAAGAAUCUGCACUGUAAAUUUUAAAUGGAAGGCAGCCCUGAAGUGGCAAUAUAUGUGUUUGCAUGCACAGCCCCAUGCCAGCAUUCUCACCUUUGCAUUUUGGCAUCUAGAAAUUGUAUUUGAAUUCUGGGUGUGGAAGGUGUGUCCAUUUGCCCAUUCGUCCACCAUCUGGUCCCAGGGCCAUCCUGUGGGUCCAUUGCGGUCCCCUCCAUGGGAUGGAAAUGAAGAGCUGGUGCAAGAAAGCUCUAGCAGAUGAAUGUGUGAGUUUCUUCGUCCCAGCAGUGCUGCUCCUCACCCUACACUGUGGGUUUGAAAGGGUUUGUAAGCUCCUGGCACCACCUCUGAAGAAAAACAAAGACCCAGCCCCGGAACGGAGCUGUGGGUAGAAAAGCAGAUGCUUCAUCACUCCUCUUUGCUGGAGGAUGGCUGGGAAGAGGAGGCCCAGCAAAUGAGAGUAUAUUUCAUGUUGACUUUGCUAUUUGGUGCAAAGCCAGAAAG